This 497-nucleotide ribosomal RNA is filed under the name uncultured bacterium. Its description in RNAcentral is "partial 16S ribosomal RNA". It matches the Rfam family "Bacterial small subunit ribosomal RNA", at positions 28 to 507 of the family's 1533-position model. The record is from RNAcentral.
GAUGAACGCUGGCGGCGUGCCUAACACAUGCAAGUCGAGCGAACAGACGAGGCGCUUGCUUCUCUGACGUUAGCGGCGGGUGGGUGAGUCACACGAGGAUAACCGACCUAUAAGAAUGAGAUAAGUACGGGGAAGCGGAUCUCAUAUCCGAUCAUAUAUUGAAACGCAUGGAUCUACAGUCCAAGCCGGAUUUGAUGUCACUAAUUGAGGUUACCUCGCCGCAUUAGCUAGUUGGUAAGGUAACGGCUUACCAAGGCAACGAUGCGUAGCCGACCUGAGAGGGUGAUCAGCCACACUGGAACUGAGACACGGUCCAGACUCCUACGGGAGGCAGCAGUGGGGAAUCUUGCGCAAUGGGCGAAAGCCUGACGGAGCAAUGCCGCGUGAGUGAUGAAGGUCUUCGGAUCGUAAAGCACUGUUAGUAGGGAGGAACGGAUGUGUGAGUAACUAUGGCUGUCUUGACGUUACCUACUCAGUAAGCAACGGCUAACUACGUG